UACAGAGGGGGCAAGCGUUGUUCGGAAUUACUGGGCGUAAAGGGCGCGUAGGCGGCCUUCUAAGUCGAACGUGAAAUCCCCGGGCUCAACCCGGGAACUGCGUCCGAUACUGGAAGGCUUGAAUCCGGGAGAGGGAUGUGGAAUUCCAGGUGUAGCGGUGAAAUGCGUAGAUAUCAAGAGGAACACCUGCGGCGAAGGCGGGUUGCUGGGCCGACACUGACGCUGAGGCGCGAAAGCUAGGGGAGCGAACGGG
RNAcentral lists this ribosomal RNA (253 nucleotides) under uncultured bacterium. RNAcentral describes it as "partial 16S ribosomal RNA". It matches the Rfam family "Bacterial small subunit ribosomal RNA", at positions 524 to 776 of the family's 1533-position model. The record is from RNAcentral.